UCUCGGUUGAUCCUGCCGGACCUGACUGCUAUCGGAUUGGUACUAAGCCAUGCGAGUGAUCGUAGCAAUACGACGCAGACGGCUCAGUAACACGUAGUCAACCUAACUCGUGGACGUGGAUAAUCUCGGGAAACUGAGGAUAAACCACGAUAGAUAACGGUGCCUGGAAUGGCCCAUUGUCCAAACAGUUUACUGCCACGGGAUGGGACUGCGGCCUAUCAGCUUGUUGGUGAGGUAAUGGCCCACCAAGGCUAUAACAGGUACGGGCUCUGAGAGGAGAAGCCCGGAGAUGGGUACUGAGACACGGACCCAGGCCCUAUGGGGCGCAGCAGGCGAGAAACCUUAGCAAUGUGCGAAAGCACGACUGGGUCAGUCCGAGUGAUUUCUGAUAAAGGAAUCUUUUGCCCGUCCUAAAAGCACGGGCGAAUAAGGGGUGGGCAAGUCUGGUGU
RNAcentral lists this ribosomal RNA (450 nucleotides) under uncultured archaeon. Its description in RNAcentral is "bacterial SSU rRNA". It matches the Rfam family "Archaeal small subunit ribosomal RNA", at positions 1 to 458 of the family's 1478-position model. The record is from RNAcentral.